Molecule: ribosomal RNA, 253 nt
Filed under: uncultured bacterium
Lineage: Bacteria
Description: partial 16S ribosomal RNA
Rfam family: Bacterial small subunit ribosomal RNA
Source: RNAcentral
GACGGAGGAUGCAAGUGUUAUCCGGAAUCACUGGGCGUAAAGCGUCUGUAGGCGGUUUAAUAAGUCAACUGUUAAAUCUUGAGGCUCAACCUCAAAAUCGCAGUCGAAACUAUUAGGCUAGAGUAUAGUAGGGGUAAAGGGAAUUUCCAGUGGAGCGGUGAAAUGCGUAGAGAUUGGAAAGAACACCGAUGGCGAAGGCAGCCCCCUGGGUCAAGAUUGACGCUGAUGCACGAAAGCGUGGGGAGCAAACAGG